CCGACUUACCAACCCGAUGCAAACUACGAAUACCGAAGAAUGUUAUCACGGGAGACACACGGCGGGUGCUACGUCCGUCGUGAAGAGGGAAACAACCCAGACCGCCAGCUAAGGUCCCAAAGUCAUGGUUAAGUGGGAAACGAUGUGGGAAGGCACAGACAGCCAGGAUGUUGGCUUAGAAGCAGCCAUCAUUUAAAGAAAGCGUAAUAGCUCACUGGUCGAGUCGGCCUGCGCGGAAGAUGUAACGGGGCUAAACCAUGCACCGAAGCUGCGGCAGCGACACUAUGUGUUGUUGGGUAGGG
Molecule: ribosomal RNA, 302 nt
Filed under: Klebsiella pneumoniae
Lineage: Bacteria; Pseudomonadati; Pseudomonadota; Gammaproteobacteria; Enterobacterales; Enterobacteriaceae
Description: bacterial LSU rRNA
Rfam family: Bacterial large subunit ribosomal RNA
Source: RNAcentral